This 974-nucleotide ribosomal RNA is filed under the name Staphylococcus aureus. RNAcentral describes it as "bacterial SSU rRNA". It matches the Rfam family "Bacterial small subunit ribosomal RNA", at positions 98 to 1056 of the family's 1533-position model. The record is from RNAcentral. Lineage: Bacteria; Bacillati; Bacillota; Bacilli; Caryophanales; Staphylococcaceae.
GCGGACGGGUGAGUAACACGUGGAUAACCUACCUAUAAGACUGGGAUAACUUCGGGAAACCGGAGCUAAUACCGGAUAAUAUUUUGAACCGCAUGGUUCAAAAGUGAAAGACGGUCUUGCUGUCACUUAUAGAUGGAUCCGCGCUGCAUUAGCUAGUUGGUAAGGUAACGGCUUACCAAGGCAACGAUGCAUAGCCGACCUGAGAGGGUGAUCGGCCACACUGGAACUGAGACACGGUCCAGACUCCUACGGGAGGCAGCAGUAGGGAAUCUUCCGCAAUGGGCGAAAGCCUGACGGAGCAACGCCGCGUGAGUGAUGAAGGUCUUCGGAUCGUAAAACUCUGUUAUUAGGGAAGAACAUAUGUGUAAGUAACUGUGCACAUCUUGACGGUACCUAAUCAGAAAGCCACGGCUAACUACGUGCCAGCAGCCGCGGUAAUACGUAGGUGGCAAGCGUUAUCCGGAAUUAUUGGGCGUAAAGCGCGCGUAGGCGGUUUUUUAAGUCUGAUGUGAAAGCCCACGGCUCAACCGUGGAGGGUCAUUGGAAACUGGAAAACUUGAGUGCAGAAGAGGAAAGUGGAAUUCCAUGUGUAGCGGUGAAAUGCGCAGAGAUAUGGAGGAACACCAGUGGCGAAGGCGACUUUCUGGUCUGUAACUGACGCUGAUGUGCGAAAGCGUGGGGAUCAAACAGGAUUAGAUACCCUGGUAGUCCACGCCGUAAACGAUGAGUGCUAAGUGUUAGGGGGUUUCCGCCCCUUAGUGCUGCAGCUAACGCAUUAAGCACUCCGCCUGGGGAGUACGACCGCAAGGUUGAAACUCAAAGGAAUUGACGGGGACCCGCACAAGCGGUGGAGCAUGUGGUUUAAUUCGAAGCAACGCGAAGAACCUUACCAAAUCUUGACAUCCUUUGACAACUCUAGAGAUAGAGCCUUCCCCUUCGGGGGACAAAGUGACAGGUGGUGCAUGGUUGUCGUC